RNAcentral lists this ribosomal RNA (1699 nucleotides) under Moringua microchir (lesser thrush eel). RNAcentral's name for it is "16S rRNA". The stretch from base 93 to 1618 matches the Rfam family "Bacterial large subunit ribosomal RNA". Lineage: Eukaryota; Metazoa; Chordata; Actinopteri; Anguilliformes; Moringuidae. The record is from RNAcentral.
GCAAAAAAGCUAGCCUAGACAAACACAACAAAAACCAGAUAUAUAUACCAACCCCCCAUCAAACCUAAAAACUAAAGCAUUCUCAAACUCAAGUAUGGGCGACAGAAAAAGUUAAAAAGAGCUACAGAGAAAGUACCGCAAGGGAAAGCUGAAAAAGAAAUGAAAAAACCCGUAUAAGUAAAAAAAAGCAGAGACUAAAACUCGUACCUUUUGCAUCAUGGUUUAGCAAGCACCCCCAAGCAAAGAGCCCUUCAGUUUGAGCCCCCGAAACUAGACGAGCUACUCCGGAGCAGUCUCCAAAGGACCAACCCGUCUCUGUGGCAAAAGAGUGGGAAGACUUCCGAGUAGCGGUGACAAGCCUAACGAGUCUAGUUAUAGCUGGUUGCUUAAAAAAUGAAUAUUAGUUCAGCCUUAUAAGACUCUUAAAUCCAAGCAUCAAAGGACACUAAAGCAGCAUUAUAAGAGUUAAUCAAAAGGGGUACAGCCCUUUUGACAAAGUAUACAAACUUAUUCAGGCGGGAAAGGAUCACAACACACCAAGGAACAUAACUAUCGCAGUGGGCUUAAAAGCAGCCACCUAUGCAGAAAGCGUUAAAGCUCAAAAAGUCAUAAAACCAGAAAUAAAGACCUCCUCCUCCAACCCCCCUAAAAAUAUUAAGCCACUCUAUGCAUACAUAGAAGAAAUAAUGCUAAAAUCAGUAAUAAGAGAACCCACCUCCCUCCUAACACAAGCGUGCAUCAGACCGGAUAAACCACUGAACAUUAACGGACCCAAAACAUGAGGGGACAAUAAAAAACAGAGAUAAACAAGAAGACACUAUUACCCCAACCGUUAACCCAACACAGGAGUGUACGAAGGAAAGACUAAAAGGAGAAGAAGGAACUCGGCAAACAAAAACCCCGCCUGUUUACCAAAAACAUCGCCUCUUGCUAAAACAAAAGUAUUAGAGGUCCCGCCUGCCCAGUGACUAGCUUGUUCAACGGCCGCGGUAUCCUGACCGUGCAAAGGUAGCGUAAUCACUUGUCUCUUAAAUAGAGACCCGUAUGAAUGGCAUAACGAGGGUUUAACUGUCUCCUCCUCCCAGUCAAUGAAAUUGAUCUGCCCGUGAAGAAGCGGGUAUAAAAACAUAAGACGAGAAGACCCUAUGGAGCUUUAGACAAAAGACAAAACAUGUAAAAACACUCAAUAAACCCAAAAAAGGACAACAAGAGCAUAAUUAAACCCUUGAUAAAUGACCUAAAAUCUUCGAUUGGGGCGAUCACGGGGGAAAACAAAGCCCCCACGUGGAACGGGAGCAAACCCUUAGACUAAGAGGGACACCUCAAAACCUCAGAAAAUCUGACCAAAAAUGACCCAGAAUAUUAACUGAUCAACGAACCAAGUUACCCUAGGGAUAACAGCGCAAUCCUUUUCCAGAGCCCAUAUCGACGAAAGGGUUUACGACCUCGAUGUUGGAUCAGGACAUCCUAAUGGUGCAGCCGCUAUUAAGGGUUCGUUUGUUCAACGAUUAACAGUCCUACGUGAUCUGAGUUCAGACCGGAGUAAUCCAGGUCGGUUUCUAUCUAUGAUCUUGCCCUCCCCUAGUACGAAAGGACCCGAGAGGGGGGGCCAAUGAUAAAAAUAAGCCCCACCCCCAUCUAUUGAAAACAAAUAAAAUAGACAAGAAGGCACAAACAGCAUAACCGAAGAUAACGAUAC